AGCAGCCGCGGUAAUUCCAGCUCCAAUAGCGUAUAUUAAAGUUGUUGCAGUUAAAAAGCUCGUAGUUGAAUUUCGGGGUUAGUAGGUUGGUCAUGCCUCUGGUAUGUACUGGUCUCACUGAUUCCUCCUUCCUGAUGAACCUUAAUGCCAUUAAUUUGGUGUUUUGGGGAAUUUGGACUGUUACUUUGAAAAAAUUAGAGUGUUUAAAGCAAGCUAACGCUUGAAUACAUUAGCAUGGAAUAAUGAAAUAGGACGUUCGAUCCUAUUUUGUUGGUUUCUAGGAUUGACGUAAUGAUUAAUAGGGAUAGUUGGGGGCAUUAGUAUUCAAUUGUCAGAGGUGAAAUUCUUGGAUUUAUUGAAGACUAACUACUGCGAAAGCAUUUGCCAAGGAUGUUUUCAUUAAUCAAGAACGAAAGUUAGGGGAUCGAAGACGAUCAGAUACCGUCGUAGUCUUAACCAUAAACUAUGCCGACUAGGGAUCGGAUGAUGUAAUUUUUAAUGACUCAUUCGGCGCCUUACG
This 520-nucleotide ribosomal RNA is filed under the name uncultured Glomus. RNAcentral's name for it is "SSU rRNA". It matches the Rfam family "Eukaryotic small subunit ribosomal RNA", at positions 569 to 1092 of the family's 1831-position model. Lineage: Eukaryota; Fungi; Glomeromycota; Glomeromycetes; Glomerales; Glomeraceae. The record is from RNAcentral.